AUUGAACGCUGGCGGCGGGCCUAACACAUGCAAGUCGAACGAGUGGCGGACGGGUGAGUAAUGUCUUGAAAACUGCCCGAUGGAGGGGGAUCACUACUGGAAACGGUAGCUAAUACCGCAUACCAUCGGCUGUUCACCACGGGGAUUAGCGAGUCGGUGGGGUAACGGCUCACCUAGGCGACGAUCCCUAGCUGGGCUUAGAGGAGGACCAGCAACACUGGAAGUGAGAUACGGGCCAGACUGCUGCGGGAGGCAGCCGUGGGGAUUUUGGCACAAUGGACAAAAGCCCUAUGCAGCAAUGCCGCGGGUAUGAAGAAGGCCUUCGGCUUGUAAAGUACUUUCAGCGAGGACGCGUUGCUCGCAGAAGAAGCUCCGGCUAACUCCGUGGCAGCAGCCGCGGUAAUUC
This 406-nucleotide ribosomal RNA is filed under the name uncultured bacterium. RNAcentral's name for it is "partial 16S ribosomal RNA". It matches the Rfam family "Bacterial small subunit ribosomal RNA", at positions 30 to 526 of the family's 1533-position model. The record is from RNAcentral.